AGUGAGCAAUGCAAUUCUGGGAAUGUUCAGGCUCUCUCUGUUCUUUCCUCUCUUGCAAACCAUGGGCACCCUUGGGUCCCUUGGGGUCACUAUGUUACACCUGCUUUUUAUCUGUCUGGGCAAGAGCUGCUCAAGCCACACCUUGUGACACUGAGGUGAAAAGGCAGGUCGGGUGAAGAAGAGCAGGAUGUUUCAUUUUUAUCAAGCAUCACCUGAUUCAAAAUGUAGCCACUGAAAAGAAGCCAUCGUUUUUGGCCUGCGUCUCUGAGGAUAAGAUAGUGCGUGGGUGAUGGAUGCAGCCCAGGAGAUGUGUUUGUUUGAGUAGAUCAGCUAUGAAAAUACCCAGCCGGCCUGCAGCCCUCCCGGCAGAUGCUGAAAAGGAAACCCGACUGGGAGAUGCCGCCCACCCUUAUCCCCAGAGAGCUGCGUUGUUUCCUCUUGCCUUGGCCUUUGGAUCCGGCCAUAGCAAGCAUCCCUGGGCACCUGGCUGAAGCUGGAAACUCGGGAUAAGAAUGGAAGCCCUGGAAGGGAAGAAGAACCGAGGAGAGGACAGCACAUUGCACUCUCACCUCCUUUGCAGUUAAGUGUGAAAUAGUGCCAAUAGAGUGUAAAAGAAAAGAAAGAAGAUGAUUCACCUCCCAAAGAUUCCCCACUGCUGUGUCCCUUCUAUCAACUUGAUACAAAAAAACACAAUGGCCCCGGGAACCACGUGUUGAAGAUGAGAGAGCUAAAAGAUGGAAAGAGACUGGAGCCCUGAGUCACCACCUGGAGGAAAACUACCCACCCAUCAGGAAUUUCUACUACACAUUUGGGAGUUUUUGGGGUUACAGCAGCUAAUUUAACGAAAACACCCAGAGACAAGAGCUAUUACUGCACAAAUUGGUUAAGUUACCUUUUUGUAUGUUUGGGUCCUCUCUAUUCGAUGAGACUGCGCGUUCCUUUGAAGCAAAUCUGUUUAAAAUUCUUAUAUCCCCAGAGGGCCUAGCAGAGAGUAUGCACAGAGUGAGCCUUCAGUAAAUGCUGAGUAAAUAAGCUCCUAAUGGAUGAAACUGUGUCUUCGAAGUUUGUUCUGACCAGUACUUAGUAUAGGAUUUUGUGCUGUUGGUCACUUUUCAUAAAGGUUCUUGCUAUUAAGGAACUUGACAUCCAAUGUACUCAUAGAAAGUAGAAAUUCAGGGGAAACAAAUAGAAGAGAUAUGUCCAAAAAUCCAUUUAAAAUUUCAUUGACAGAUAUUUAUCUCUUUAAUCCUGGAAGUUGUUUCAUGUAAGGGAAGGUUCAGUAGAAUGAAAACAGGACUGUAAGCUGGGAGGAGAUUUGGGGUCUCUUGGCCAACUCUGCCACAAAUUGUGUUACCUUCAACUUCCCUGCCUGUAAAAUGAAGUCAGUGGUCCCUAAAAUGAAAUUGGACUAAUGGCAAAUUAGCUAGCAUUUGAUUAUACAUCGAUAGUUUCCCCAUGUGAUUUUAACGCACAAAUCAGAUUUUGGAACCAUUAGGUAGGUGAUCUUAUCUUAUGAGUUUAUCUUUUUCAACAUGGAAAAAUAAAUUUGUUUUGCUGACCGAAGGCUGUGUAACUUAGAACUGGAAAGAGACAUGUAAUUGAAUAACCCAUCUCUAUGGGGCAAAAAAAUGAAACACCUUUAGUUUGUUCAAAGAUGAAAUGGAAAAAUAAACAUGUUUUAAGAUGACUUGGUAGAGAAAAUAUUUUCUUUGCCAGGAUAUUAGAGAAUUUGUCAAAAGUUAUUACACAGGAAAGUCAAAGGUUUCAUUGCAGGAACUUAAUAAAUAUUUGUUUAUUAGCUGAUUAAUG
Molecule: long non-coding RNA, 1809 nt
Filed under: Homo sapiens (human)
Lineage: Eukaryota; Metazoa; Chordata; Mammalia; Primates; Hominidae
Description: non-protein coding LINC01093:19
Source: RNAcentral